CAAUCCUAGGGAACAGUGAAGCUUCAUACGGUCUUUCUGUCCAGGUGCAGGUAGUCCGCAUCUUCAUAGACAUGUCUAUUUCACCGAACCUCUCUCCGAAAUAGUGCCCAGAUCGUUAUGCCUUUCGUGCGGGUCAGAACUUACCCGACAAGGAAUUUCGCUACCUUAGGACCAUUAUAGUUACGGUCGCCGGUACUCGCAAGCGAA
Molecule: long non-coding RNA, 207 nt
Organism: Cucurbita moschata (crookneck pumpkin)
Lineage: Eukaryota; Viridiplantae; Streptophyta; Magnoliopsida; Cucurbitales; Cucurbitaceae
Exons: 3
Source: RefSeq, a predicted model, not a curated record